This 301-nucleotide ribosomal RNA is filed under the name uncultured bacterium. Its description in RNAcentral is "partial 16S ribosomal RNA". It matches the Rfam family "Bacterial small subunit ribosomal RNA", at positions 509 to 807 of the family's 1533-position model. The record is from RNAcentral.
CAGUCGCCACGGUAAUACGUAGGGGGCAAGCGUUAUCCGGAACUACUGGGUGUAAAGGGAGCGUAGACGGUUAAACAAGUCUGAAGUGAAAUGCCGGGGCUCAACCCCGGAGCUGCUUUGGGAACUGUAGAACUGGAGUGUCGGAGGGGUAAGCGGAAUUCCCAGUGUAGCGGUGAAAUGCGUAGAUAUUGGGAGGAACACCGGCGGCGAAGGCGGCUUACUGGACGACAACUGACGUUGAGGCUCGAAGGCGUGGGUAGCAAACAGGAUUAGAUACCCCUGUAGUCCCUGUCUCUUAUAC